CGAUUGGCAGCAGGCGGGUGACGUGCGCGCGCCCGGCGGAUUCUGAGGGGGCGCGGGCGGCCGCGGGGACUGACGGGUAGCGAGGCCCGCCUCGGAAUCUCGAUGCUGAAGAGGGCCCUUGAGGUGGGCCUUUUACAUCUGUAGACGCUGGAGGCCCGCAGAAAGGAUACUGUGUCGGAGAAGGUAAAGCACAAGAGAGUGCUUUGUAACUGGAAAGUGCCUUUCAAAAAAGUUAAAAUACUUUCGCUAAACUAGGAACUGCCUACAGCUCUGCCCCUUGGCCAUUUGGUACAAUCCUGCUCCGAGACCUUGAGGAGCUUACUUUUGGUUUGGUGGAAGGACCCUGGAGCUUGUUGAUCCUGAAAAUGUUCAUCUCAGACGUCCUUGUCCUUGAGACUGUUCUGUUGAGAUGGCUGAGGUAGGGGUGGGUUGAGGGAGUGGGGCCAUUAGGGGAAGACAAGUUGAGAGAAGGCCAGUAAAUAUUUGUUUCUUAAUUAGAGGCUUUGUUGUCUUGACAAGAGCGAAACAAGCUGUGUUCAAUGAGAUUCUUAAGGUAUCUAAGAAGUUUUUCUUUAUAGGAACAAAAAAUACAUACCUCAGUUAAAAGACAGAACAUAGUAAAAUGCUCAAGUGCCAAAUGUAUAAAUUGAUGUGACCCAACACCCAGAUCCACAUAUACAGAAUACCAGACACCCCAUAGAGCUUCUUUAUGUCACUGCUAACCACAUCUUCUUACCACCACCACUAUUCUGUCUUGCUUUGCAUGUUCUUGAAUAUCAUAUAAAAGGAAUUAUACUGCAUGUAGUUGUUUUUCUGUGACUGGCUUCCCUUGAGCAGUGGAUACCUGGUUUGCUAUUUCUAAGUAGAAGAAAUGGGAUGAGCAGAAGUCUAUAUGGAUGAAACAUUUUUCUUGUCUUUCAUCUUUUUUGUCUUAAAAUUUAAAGAUGUGGAGGCAUACAUUAGCUAUUUCUGAUGCAUUAAAUGAGCUAUGCUAAUGUAUGAAAGGCGAUAGUUCCUAACCCCACCAAUUAAAAAAAUCUUUAUUGUGCACUUUGGGAAUAUUUUCUUACCUUCCCUUUACUUUAAAUUUUAAAUCCUGUUUUAUUUUAAUUUGCAUUUCAUUUCCACAAUCCUGCCUUCUUGGCAAUACAUGAAACAGAGAAGCUGAAGGUAAUAUUGUUCUAAACAGAAGUGGCAGGCUUAUCUGACCACCUUCUGAUGUAGUGUCCAACAAAAUCUGGUUUUAUUAUAAGUGUUUAUUUCUUGUGUUUAGACCCCAUCUUUAAAAGACAAAAUUAUGGUCAGAAAAGGCAAGACAAAAUAAUAUGUGGAUAAGUUUAAAGAAGUUAUUUAGUGUUAAGAUCUUGAGUGAGGAUUGGUAAUCCUCUGCCUGCUUUAUGUCCUAGCUAGGCCCAGAUCUCUAAUUUCUUUACAUGCUUUCCUUUUAUAAACUCAUCUAGUCCAUGAAUUCAAAUAUGAUCAAUAAGUCAAUGUAUCCCAAAUCUCUGUUUCCAGCCCAGAUGUCUCUAGUACUAAUCCCAAAUGCCUCCUGGACAUCUCUGGGCAUCUUUGCCCAUUUUUCUAUUGCUAUACUCAUCUUUUUCAUUGAUUUAUGUUUUCUGGCUAAUAAUACAUUGUUGGUUAUAUUAUUGCCUCUCAUCUUCCAGUCUGUGCCUUUUCUUUGGCCUUUGUUUGUGGUGUCUUUUCUUACACUGAAAUUUUCUUUGAAUGUAGUCACAUUUAUUCAUCUUUUCCUUUAUAUUUUGUGCUUUGGGUGUCUGGUUUAAGAAAUCCUCUCCUACUUCAGAAUCACAAAGAUAUUCAUUUAUCUUUUUGCCAAAAGUUUUAAACUUUUAUUCUUGUUUUAUUCUUUUUUUAAUCAACCUAUUUUUGUGAAUGAGGUAGAGAUCUAAUUUAUUUUAUUUAUUUUAUAUAUGAACAACUAAUUGUUCUAGCAGCAUUUAUUGAAUAGUAUAACUUUUCUUUUAUGGUUUGUAAUGUCAUUGAUUUCAAAUCAGUUUUCCACAAAUCCAUGGAUUGUUUAUUAUUUUCCAUUGGUCAAUUUGUAUGACCUCUAUAACAUAACCACACUAUCAUAAUUGCUGCUGUUUUAUAAUAAGUGUUAAUAGCCAGUAGGGUAUUAACAAUAGUUAAUAUUCACCUAUUUUCUUCAGAAUUUUCUAGGGAAUGACAGGCCCUUUCCUACUAUAUAUGAAUUUCAGCAUCAUUUUGUUAAGUUCUAUGAAAAACUUGAGUGUUAAUUGAAAAUUCAUUAGGGCCUCAGUUUCUUCUCUGUAAUAUGCUGAUAGUAAUGGUUGUUAUGACCAUAUGUAAUUAAUUUUUUUAGUGUGCUUAAUGAAUGGUUAUUAUCAGCAGUAUCGUCUUCAUCGUUAUCAAUGAAUGAGCAUUUCCUCUGGCUUUGAGAUCUUAAAUUCAGAAAUCCUAUCUUCUAACCACAACCUCAUUUAUUUGUUUAUACAUCGUCCAGUCCUUUACUCCCACUAACCUUAUUUUUUGACUUCUUCAAGAUAUUUAGUGUUGAAACCAUCUCUAUUUUUCUAGUGUGUCAGUCCAAUCCUGGCUUUAUUUUUUCCCAUUCCUCACAAAAGUUGCUCUAAAUCUUCACCAUUCUAUAUUAUUUACUUAUUAAUAAGCCUUCAAAUUGAUACUAUCAGGCUUGUUUUGGGCUCAGGUGACCUUGAUUUUUAGUUACUAGAGAAUCUUUCUUCCCCAUCAUCUCUAAAUGUGACUAUAAUUCCUCCUGUACUUAGUGUCUGCCCUGUCCUUUAAAUUUAACUCCUCCCUGUGUUCUAGAACUCUUCCUCCAAGACCUUGCAUCAGUUACCUUCUCUCAGAUUUUCAUUUUCUUUCUCUCUACUGGCCCUACAAACUGUUGAUUUCCAGGCUUUCACAUUUCACCAACCAGUAAAUUUUUUAAUUGAGGAAAUUAACAUGGGUUUGCCAACUUGAUUUUGUCAAGAAAAGAUAUUUAAAAGCAGUAUAACAACAAAAAAUGACUACCGUCUGCUACUGGAAUGCAAUAUAGCAUAAUAGUUAAGACCACAAGACUCUGGAGUUAGACUGUUUAGACUAGAAUUCUG
Kogia breviceps (pygmy sperm whale) is the source of this 3101-nucleotide non-coding RNA. NCBI's taxonomy places the organism in Eukaryota, Metazoa, Chordata, Mammalia, Artiodactyla, Physeteridae. The record is from RefSeq and is a predicted model, not a curated record.